Molecule: ribosomal RNA, 440 nt
Filed under: uncultured bacterium
Lineage: Bacteria
Description: partial 16S ribosomal RNA
Rfam family: Bacterial small subunit ribosomal RNA
Source: RNAcentral
CCUACGGGGGACAGCAGUGGGGAAUAUUGCACAAUGGGGGAAACCCUGAUGCAGCGACGCCGCGUGAGUGAAGAAGUAUCUCGGUACGUAAAGCUCUAUCAGCAGGGAAGAAAAUGACGGUACCUGACUAAGAAGCCCCGGCUAACUACGUGCCAGCAGCCGCGGUAAUAAGAAGGGGGCCAGCGUUAUCCGGAUUUACUGGGUGAAAAGGGAGCGUAGACGGCAGCACAAGUCUGGAGUGAAAUCCCGGGGCUUAACCCCGGAACUGCUUUGGAAACUGUGGGGCGGGAGUGCAGGAGGGGUAAGCGGAAUUCCUAGUGUAGCGGUGACAUGCGUAGAUAUUAGGCGGAACACCGGUGGCGAAGGCGGCUUACUGGACUGUAACUGACGUUGAGGCUCGAAAGCGUGGGGAGCAAACAGGAUUAGAUACCCUGGUAGUC